Molecule: ribosomal RNA, 371 nt
Filed under: uncultured organism
Description: partial 16S ribosomal RNA
Rfam family: Bacterial small subunit ribosomal RNA
Source: RNAcentral
GUAGGUGGCAAGCGUUGUCCGGAAUUAUUGGGCGUAAAGCGCGCGCAGGCGGUUCCUUAAGUCUGAUGUGAAAGCCCACGGCUCAACCGUGGAGGGUCAUUGGAAACUGGAGAACUUGAGUACAGAAGAGGAAAGCGGAAUUCCACGUGUAGCGGUGAAAUGCGUAGAGAUGUGGAGGAACACGAGUGGCGAAGGCGGCUUUCUGGUCUGUAACUGACGCUGAGGCGCGAAAGCGUGGGGGAGCAAACAGGAUUAGAUACCCUGGUAGUCCACGCCGUAAACGAUGAGUGCUAAGUGUUAGGGGGUUUCCGCCCCUUAGUGCUGCAGCUAACGCAUUAAGCACUCCGCCUGGGAGUACAGCCGCAAGGCUG